RNAcentral lists this unclassified non-coding RNA (253 nucleotides) under plant metagenome. RNAcentral's name for it is "partial contains small subunit ribosomal RNA, internal transcribed spacer 1, and 5.8S ribosomal RNA". The stretch from base 1 to 54 matches the Rfam family "Eukaryotic small subunit ribosomal RNA", at positions 1778 to 1831 of the family's 1831-position model. The record is from RNAcentral.
GGAAGUAAAAGACGUAACAAGGUCUCCGUUGGUGAACCAGCGGAGGGAUCAUUACAGAGUUGCAAAACUCCCAAACCAUUGUGAACGUUACCUAUCCCGUUGCUUCGGCGGGCGGCCCGGGCCCCGCGCCCGGCGCCCCCCGGCCCCCCGUGGGCGCCCGCCGGAGGUAAACCAAACCCUUGAAUUGCAUGGCCUCUCUGAGUCUUCUGUACUGAAUAAGUCAAAACUUUCAACAACGGAUCUCUUGGUUCUG